This 1391-nucleotide long non-coding RNA is filed under the name Monodelphis domestica (gray short-tailed opossum). Its description in RNAcentral is "lncRNA (ENSMODG00000040043.1)". The record is from RNAcentral. Lineage: Eukaryota; Metazoa; Chordata; Mammalia; Didelphimorphia; Didelphidae.
AUGAGCCUGCCUUCCAAGAGCUCAUCUUACCGAGAAAGUUUUCAGGACUCUAAAAAAUCAUCUGGCCUACCUGAAAUCCUGCACCAGUUCCACAUAGGAGAACUCCCGAGUUCUAGUGGGUUAAAUUCAUUUUGGAAUUUUAAGUUGGGAGAUUCCUCAGAGCCCAUCUGGAUCGGCCUUUGCAUGAUCAAGAAUCCUCUCUACAACUCAGCUCACUAUUUCCCCUUCCACAAUAGAAUAGAAGAUGAAGAAGGGGAGACUUUGAACAGCAAAGCAGUUUGCUCACCAUCCACAGCUAGUAAGUGGAAGAGGCAGGAUUUGAACGAAGGUCUUCCUGUGUUCAGAAUCCAGGGCAUCCCCCUACUCCACCUCCAAACAGCAGCCCAGUUUACUCAUAAUUGUUAUUUAUCGAGGACUAAGUUCUGGUUUGCCUCCUGGGACACGGAACAGAGGGCAUUGUGAAAAAUGGAACUCUGGCUUCUCCCGUGCCACCUUGCACAGGCUGUCUCCCCUGCCUGGAAUCCAUGACCUUUUUUCCCUGUUGGAAAUUGAGAUCCUGGCAGUCGCCUGCCCUGUGUGUACCCGUGAGAGGAGGGUAAGGGGGGACUCCCAGGCCUGGAGGAUGCCCUCCUGCAUCUCCUCCCAAAAAUCUCCUUCCACACUGAGGUCAGCUUCUGUCCGGCUCAUGAGACCCUCCCUCCUCCUCCCCUUGUUGGGGGGAUGCCACCCACGUCCCCCUCACUGCCUUGAGGACCCGUAGCAGUUUCUCUUUCCCCCUGGCUGGUGCCCAAUACCUGGAAGGCACGUGCUAAGCUCUUGCUUGCUUCAAUACGCUGGAAUCCAUGGGUGUGUAUGUGUGUGUCUAUGUCUGUGUGUGCAUGCAUGUGUCUGUGUGUACAUACAUAGACUUAGGCAGCCCUUAUUAAAUGCUUGCUUACAUAACAUGCUGGAUUCCAGGGUACACGUACGCGCACACACACACACACACACAAUGUACAUCUAAAGUUUCCCCCAGAAGCACAGUGAGAGUGUGAUGCUGCUAACACUUCCCUUUUAAUGACUCAUUCACUAGAAAGUUCUGAUUUAUAGUAUUUUUAAGACCUUUUUUUGGAUGACGUUUCAGCAUAGCUAGGUGGUUCAGUGGAUGAAGAGCCAAGCCUAGAGAUGGGAGGUCCUGGAUUCAAAUGUGACCUCAGAUACUUCCUAGCUGGGUGACCUUGGACAAGUCACUUAACCCGAAUUGCCUAGCCCUUACUGCUCUGCCUUGGAACCUCUACUUUGUAUUGAUUCUAAAACUAAAGAUAAAGGUUUAUAUAACUUUUUUCUAAAGAAAGAAAUUCUGAACCUAAACUCCAAAUAAAACCAAUGUUAUACAAAACUACGAAUCUCUA